This 497-nucleotide ribosomal RNA is filed under the name uncultured bacterium. Its description in RNAcentral is "partial 16S ribosomal RNA". It matches the Rfam family "Bacterial small subunit ribosomal RNA", at positions 28 to 507 of the family's 1533-position model. The record is from RNAcentral.
GAUGAACGCUGGCGGCGUGCCUAAUACAUGCAAGUCGAGCGAACAGACGAGGAGCUUGCUCCUCUGACGUUAGCCGCGGACGGGUGAGUAACACGUGGAUAACCUACCUAUAAGACUGGGAUAACUUCGGGAAACCGGCGCUAAUCCCGGAUAAUAUAUUGAACCGCAUGGUUCAAUAGUGAAAGACGGUUUUGCUGUCACUUAUCGAUGGAUCCGCGCCGCAUUAGCUAGUUGGUAAGGUAACGGCUUACCACGGCAACGAUGCGUAGCCGACGUGAGAGGGUGAUCGGCCACACUGGAACUGAGACACGGUCCAGACUCCUACGGUAGGCAGCAGUAGGGAAUCUGCCGCAAUGGUCGAAAGUCUGACGGAGCAACGCCGCGUGAGUGAUGAAGGUCCUCGGAUCGUAAAACUCUGUUACGAGGUAAGAACAAAUGUGUAAGUAACUAUGCACGUCUUGACGGUACCUAAUCAGAAAGCCACGGCUAACUACGUG